GAUUGAACGCUGGCGGAAUGCUUUACACAUGCAAGUCGAACGGCAGCACGGGGGCAACCCUGGUGGCGAGUGGCGAACGGGUGAGUAAUACAUCGGAACGUGCCCGGUCGUGGGGGAUAACGUAGCGAAAGUUACGCUAAUACCGCAUACGAUCUGAGGAUGAAAGCGGGGGACCUUCGGGCCUCGCGCGAUCGGAGCGGCCGAUGUCAGAUUAGGUAGUUGGUGGGGUAAAGGCCUACCAAGCCGACGAUCUGUAGCUGGUCUGAGAGGACGACCAGCCACAUUGGGACUGAGACACGGCCCAGACUCCUACGGGAGGCAGCAGUGGGGAAUUUUGGACAAUGGGCGCAAGCCUGAUCCAGCCAUUCCGCGUGCAGGACGAAGGCCUUCGGGUUGUAAACUGCUUUUGUAUGGAACGAAAAGGCUCUGGCUAAUACCUGGGGCUCAUGACGGUACCGUAAGAAUAAGCACCGGCUAACUACGUG
This 485-nucleotide ribosomal RNA is filed under the name uncultured bacterium. RNAcentral describes it as "partial 16S ribosomal RNA". It matches the Rfam family "Bacterial small subunit ribosomal RNA", at positions 27 to 507 of the family's 1533-position model. The record is from RNAcentral.